This 374-nucleotide unclassified non-coding RNA is filed under the name soil metagenome. RNAcentral describes it as "partial contains 5.8S ribosomal RNA, internal transcribed spacer 2, and large subunit ribosomal RNA". The stretch from base 1 to 120 matches the Rfam family "5.8S ribosomal RNA", at positions 35 to 154 of the family's 154-position model. The record is from RNAcentral.
GAUGAAGAACGCAGCGAAAUGCGAUAAGUAGUGUGAAUUGCAGAAUUCAGUGAAUCAUCGAAUCUUUGAACGCACAUUGCGCCCUUUGGCAUUCCGAAGGGCAUGCCUGUUCGAGCGUCAUUAUCACCCCUCAAGCCCCCCUGGCUUGGUGUUGGACGGUUUUGGUGGGACGUGCAGCCUCUCACCCCUCCUAAAGACAAUGACGGCGGCGUCGUUGGAACCCCCCGGUACACUGAGCUUCUUAACUGAGCACGUACUGGAUGCGGGUACGCGAUGCACGGUCUGCCUCCCCUUUAGGGAGAACUUUUUCUUAAGGUUGACCUCGGAUCAGGUAGGAAUACCCGCUGAACUUAAGCAUAUCAAUAAGCGGAGGA